Molecule: ribosomal RNA, 497 nt
Filed under: uncultured bacterium
Lineage: Bacteria
Description: partial 16S ribosomal RNA
Rfam family: Bacterial small subunit ribosomal RNA
Source: RNAcentral
GAUGAACGCUGGCGGCGUGCCUAAUACAUGCAAGUCGAGCGAACGGACGAGAAGCUUGCUUCUCUGAUGUUAGCGGCGGACGGGUGAGUAACACGUGGAUAACCUACCUAUAAGACUGGGAUAACUUCGGGAAACCGGAGCUAAUACCGGAUGAUAUUUUGAACCGCAUGGUUCAAAAGUGAAAGACGGUCUUGCUGUCACUUAUAGAUGGAUCCGCGCUGCAUUAGCUAGUUGGUAAGGUAACGGCUUACCAAGGCAACGAUGCAUAGCCGACCUGAGAGGGUGAUCGGCCACACUGGAACUGAGACACGGUCCAGACUCCUACGGGAGGCAGCAGUGGGGAAUCUUCGGCAAUGGGCGAAAGCCUGACGGAGCAACGCCGCGUGAGUGAUGAAGGUCUUCGGAUCGUAAAACUCUGUUAUUGGGGAAGAACAUAUGUGUAAUUAACUGUGCACAUCUUGACGGUACCUAAUCAAAAAGCCACGGCUAACUACGUG